GGAGGUAUAGCUCAGUGGUAGACUGCAUGUCUAGCAUGCACAAGCUCCUGGGUUCAAUCACCAGUACCUCCA
RNAcentral lists this transfer RNA (72 nucleotides) under Camelus bactrianus (Bactrian camel). It matches the Rfam family "tRNA". Rfam says of the family: Transfer RNA (tRNA) molecules are approximately 80 nucleotides in length. Their secondary structure includes four short double-helical elements and three loops (D, anti-codon, and T loops). Further hydrogen bonds mediate the characteristic L-shaped molecular structure. tRNAs have two regions of fundamental functional importance: the anti-codon, which is responsible for specific mRNA codon recognition, and the 3' end, to which the tRNAs corresponding amino acid is attached (by aminoacyl-tRNA synthetases). tRNAs cope with the degeneracy of the genetic code in two manners: having more than one tRNA (with a specific anti-codon) for a particular amino acid; and 'wobble' base-pairing, i.e. permitting non-standard base-pairing at the 3rd anti-codon position. Lineage: Eukaryota; Metazoa; Chordata; Mammalia; Artiodactyla; Camelidae. The record is from Rfam by way of RNAcentral. RNAcentral also lists the same sequence under 1 other name.